RNAcentral lists this ribosomal RNA (429 nucleotides) under bacterium. Its description in RNAcentral is "partial 16S ribosomal RNA". It matches the Rfam family "Bacterial small subunit ribosomal RNA", at positions 355 to 776 of the family's 1533-position model. The record is from RNAcentral.
UAGGGAAUCUUCCACAAUGGACGCAAGUCUGAUGGAGCAACGCCGCGUGAGUGAAGAAGGUUUUCGGAUCGUAAAGCUCUGUUGUUGGUGAAGAAGGAUAGAGGCAGUAACUGGUCUUUAUUUGACGGUAAUCAACCUGAAAGUCACGGCUAACUACGUGCCAGCAGCCGCGGUAAUACGUAGGUGGCAAGCGUUGUCCGGAUUUAUUGGGCGUAAAGCGAGCGCAGGCGGAAUGAUAAGUCUGAUGUGAAAGCCCACGGCUCAACCGUGGAACUGCAUCGGAAACUGUCAUUCUUGAGUGCAGAAGAGGAGAGUGGAAUUCCAUGUGUAGCGGUGGAAUGCGUAGAUAUAUGGAAGAACACCAGUGGCGAAGGCGGCUCUCUGGUCUGCAACUGACGCUGAGGCUCGAAAGCAUGGGUAGCGAACAGG